UGUAAAGUACAUAAGAAAUGAGGUAUAAAGGAUUUGUAUACAUAAUUAUAAUGUACAUGUAGAACUAGAAAUGGCAAAAUCUGAAAAUAAGACUCAUACCAGGUUUUCUAGCUUAGCAGCUAGUGUCUUUAUCCAUUAUAAUAUACAUGUACAUGUAUUUGUAUAUAUAUAAGUAAGUUAAGCAAACAGACUAUCAAAAGUGUUGCCUGUUGUGAAAGCAUUUACUAUCAUUUCUGGUAUUAUUUACCCAAUAGAAUGCAGGUAAACACAGCAAAUGAAAUCAGAGAAGGCACGCCAUACCAUCCCGCCAUAGAUACCCUGGACCUAUCAGCUGAUUCCAUUAAAGAAAUUCCUGAGCCUCAACCAUCACCUACAAUGGAGACUUCACCUCUACCAAAGAAAUGUUCAGCAGUUUACUUUGACCUUGAGAGUACAGGGCUAGCUAGGACUUCUCACAUCACUCAAAUUGCAGCAGUAUUUGGAGAGGAAAGCUUUGACACCUAUGUGAUACCACGUAUCCAAAUAUCGCCUACAGCAUCUACAGUUACUUGGCUCACAUGCAUAAACAGGACACUUUUUUUAUAAAGGCCACCCUGUUAAUUCUGUUUCGAUUUCAGUAGCCAUACAACAUUUCAUUACAUAUUUGAAGAAACAAACACCACGCGUGUUCCUUGUUGGACACAAUAU
Pecten maximus is the source of this 687-nucleotide long non-coding RNA. RefSeq lists it as uncharacterized. The transcript has 2 exons. NCBI's taxonomy places the organism in Eukaryota, Metazoa, Mollusca, Bivalvia, Pectinida, Pectinidae. The record is from RefSeq and is a predicted model, not a curated record.